RNAcentral lists this ribosomal RNA (459 nucleotides) under uncultured bacterium. RNAcentral's name for it is "partial 16S ribosomal RNA". It matches the Rfam family "Bacterial small subunit ribosomal RNA", at positions 338 to 795 of the family's 1533-position model. The record is from RNAcentral.
CCUACGGGUGGCAGCAGUGAGGAAUAUUGGUCAAUGGGAGAGAUCCUGAACCAGCCAAGCCGCGUGAAGGACGAAGGUGCCAAGCAUUGUAAACUUCUUUUGUCAAGGGACAAAAUCAGGCUCGAGAGCCUGACCGAGGGUACUUGAAGAAAAAGCAUCGGCUAACUCCGUGCCAGCAGCCGCGGUAAUACGGAGGAUGCGAGCGUUAUCCGGAUUUAUUGGGUUUAAAGGGUGCGUAGGCGGACUGUUAAGUCAGCGGUAAAAGUCCGGGGCUCAACCCCGUCGAGCCGUUGAAACUGGCGGUCUUGAGAUGGCGAGAGGUAGGCGGAAUGCGCGGUGUAGCGGGGAAAUGCAUAGAUAUUGCGCAGAACUCCGAUUGCGAAGGCAGCAUACCGGCGGCGAUCUGACGCUGAGGCACGAAAGCGUGGGUAUCGAACAGGAUUAGAUACCCCUGUAGUC